GUAAGUUGAAUGUUUAUGACGUUGAUAUUCAACGUCAUAAACAUCUAAGUUGAAUGUUUAUGACGUUGAAUAUCAACGUCAUAAACAUCUACG
Molecule: non-coding RNA, 93 nt
Organism: Paramuricea clavata
Lineage: Eukaryota; Metazoa; Cnidaria; Anthozoa; Malacalcyonacea; Plexauridae
Source: the annotation of a GenBank genome assembly